This 250-nucleotide ribosomal RNA is filed under the name uncultured bacterium. RNAcentral describes it as "partial 16S ribosomal RNA". It matches the Rfam family "Bacterial small subunit ribosomal RNA", at positions 523 to 769 of the family's 1533-position model. The record is from RNAcentral.
AUACGUAGGUGGCAAGCGUUGUCCGGAUUUAUUGGGCGUAAAGCGAGCGCAGGCGGUUUUUUAAGUUCUGAUGUGAAAGCCUUCCGGCUCAACCGAACGAAGUGCAUCGGAAACUGGGAAACUUGAGUGCAGAAGAGGACAGUGGAACUCCAUGUGUAGCGGUGAAAUGCGUAGAUAUAUGGAAGAACACCAGUGGCGAAGGCGGCUGUCUGGUCUGUAACUGACGCUGAGGCUCGAAAGUAUGGGUAGC